RNAcentral lists this unclassified non-coding RNA (430 nucleotides) under soil metagenome. RNAcentral's name for it is "partial contains 5.8S ribosomal RNA, internal transcribed spacer 2, and large subunit ribosomal RNA". The stretch from base 1 to 120 matches the Rfam family "5.8S ribosomal RNA", at positions 35 to 154 of the family's 154-position model. The record is from RNAcentral.
GAUGAAGAACGUAGCGAAAUGCGAUACGUAAUGUGAAUUGCAGAAUUCAGUGAAUCAUCGAAUCUUUGAACGCAUAUUGCGCUCUCUGGUAUUCCGGAGAGCAUGCUUGUUUGAGUAUCAGUAAACACCUCAACUCCCUUUUCUUUUUUGAAAUUGGAGCUGGACUUGAGUGAUCCCAACGCUUUCUUCCAAGAAAGUGGCGGGUUGCUUGAAAUGCAGGUGCAGCUGAACUUUUCUCUGAGCUAUAAGCAUAUCUAUUUAGUCUGCCUAAAAAACAGAUUAUUACCUUUGCUGCAGCUAACAUAAAGGAGACUAGUUCUUGUGCUGACUGAUGCAGGAUUCACAGAGACAGCUUCGGCUGACUUUGUAAACUCGAUCUCAAGUCAAGUAAGACUACCCGCUGAACUUAAGCAUAUCAAUAAGCGGAGGA